This 490-nucleotide ribosomal RNA is filed under the name uncultured bacterium. RNAcentral describes it as "partial 16S ribosomal RNA". It matches the Rfam family "Bacterial small subunit ribosomal RNA", at positions 30 to 507 of the family's 1533-position model. The record is from RNAcentral.
AUUGAACGCUGGCGGCAGGCCUAACACAUGCAAGUCGAACGGUAACAGGAAACAGCUUGCUGUUUCGCUGACGAGUGGCGGACGGGUGAGUAAUGUCUGGGAAACUGCCUGAUGGAGGGGGAUAACUACUGGAAACGGUAGCUAAUACCGCAUAACGUCGCAAGACCAAAGAGGGGGACCCUCGGGCCUCUUGCCAUCGGAUGUGCCCAGAUGGGAUUAGCUUGUUGGUGGGGUAACGGCUCACCAAGGCGACGAUCCCUAGCUGGUCUGAGAGGAUGACGAGCCACACUGGAACUGAGACACGGUCCAGACUCCUACGGGAGGCAGAAGUGGGGAAUAUUGGACAAUGGGCGCAAGCCUGAUGCAGCCAUGCCGCGUGGAUGAAGAAGGCCUUCGGGUUGUAAAGUACUUUCCGCGGGGAGGAAGGGAGUAAAGUUAAUAGCUUUGCUCAUUGACGUUACCCGCAGAAGAAGCACCGGCUAACUACGUG